AUCUGGGAGGGUGAUCUGAGUGCUGAGGGACUGGAUAUCCCCAGUUCAGUGAUGCCAGCAAUAUCAGGAAGUGCCCCAGGUGUCCCAACACAUCCAUCUUUUCUAUUCAUCAACCACCAACCCAAUGUGAGAUUUUCACCUGACUUCCGAACUCUAUCAGAACUCUACACAUCUUUACCUUGCCUGAACCGAAGAGCCAACAUCUAUCUCUACACGGACUAAACCUCACUCUGUUCUUGCUUCCAACCAAGUAACUCCCAACUUAACUAGAGUUGUUCCCUAUGUUCCAAAUGAUUUAGACAAGUACUGGAGAGUAGUAUUACCUCUGCCCUGACUGUCUGUGACUGGGUCAUUCUCCACUGCAGCAAAAGGAUGGAUAUAAAUCGGAAGAAAGCCCUGACUAGUUUGUCUUAAAGCCAAAGCGUGCCACGUACGUACUUUGAUUCAUUGAAGUCAGUUUUUCCUGCUUCUCAGAGCGCCAGAAAGCAGCAUGCCCCUAAUGCUUGCAGGGACAUCAUCUGUGUGCACUGGAACGCUUUCUGGAGCUCAGUGUUUGGAGGCUGUAUCCCCAUAAUCCUGAAGACCUGGAGCAAACCCAGAACUUCCAGGAAGUCCCAAGGAAGGAUCCAGGACAGUUUCAGUAGGUCUCGAAAAUGAUAUAACACACUCCUGAUAUUGGAAACAUGGAUGAGUGACCUUUCUGGAUUGAAACUCCUCAGUUCUUCAUGUCUCAGUGUCUGUGGAUCAGUAUUAGUCCUCGUUUUACAGGAGGAAACUGAGACUCACACAAGGCUGAACAGGACAUUUAGGGGAUUAAACUGGGCCAGAGAUGACUUUCCUGCCACCAACCUCACACUCCCUGGGAUGAGAGGUAUUUUUGAGGACUCUAACAUUCAGCAUGCCAUUUGCCCAGCGGAAGCUGACUGCCACAGAUCUGAGGAACUGGAAACCAGGUAAGAAAACACAGACGGCAUGAGAUAGACUUCAGGAUUUCACACAAAGAUUUGUGAAUCUGAAGCAUCCUCCAGGAGAGACGGCACCCGAGGGCAAUAUCUCUGUGAUGAAAAAUGGUUUUAGUCUGAAAUGGACAGUCAACAGAGAGACAAAGAUGGGCGUGUAGCUUCUAAAUACCUCACCUGUAGAUGUCACGUUUGGGUACUGGUGUUUGUAAAGUCCCCCACCUCUACCCUCAUCCCCACCCAAGAGAACAGGGAACCAGUGACAAGAUGCUUAGUCAAUAUCUCUUUUUAAUGACUGUUCUAAAUGCAAUAUUCUUUAGCCCCUCCAGAUAGCAAGGGCAGAAGGCCUUAUGAUGUAUAAAAAGGUAAAAGUGAGACUCCAUAGGAGAAAUGUCCUCACCUCUGGGGAGAUCUGUAAGAAAGAACAUUCUCCACCCCUACCUGGCUUUGUAUGAAAAGCUCACCUUUCACUCCCAACAUUUCCUUCUUGGUGGAUGCCAGACAUGCGCUUUGGGAACCCCAUCCCACCCUACCUUUAUCUAGCUUGUUUAUACAUGGUGGCUUAUCUGGAAUCACAAUCGCAUUUCCUUAUAGGAGAUCAUGACUAUAACCUACAAGGCACGGCACUCACCAGCCAAUUAAAAUCUUUGCCAUCUCCAUUUCUUCCCAUAAUUCCACUUAGAAUCCUGGACUAGACAUGUGUGACUCUGGAGCCUUUCCUGGUGUGCUAUGGCUUACUAAAGGGCUUAGAAGAGUUCUCAAGGGCUAUAAUCAUCCAGAAACCCCAUUGUUUGUCUUGGUGCUGGGUAUUUGCCCGGACUGAUUCUCAAUAAUUUACUGAAGGUCAAACUAAGCUGAGUCUAGUUUUCCCCUUAUCCCUGCCUAACAGCUGUGAACUUGGUUACUCAGUUGGUCCUGAGAGCAUCUUGCCCUGUUGGCUUGGACGGUCAGCCAGGGGUUGUUACCGAGCCCCAAUCCCUAAGCGCUUGCUAUCUCAGGCUUUACUUUCAAUCUGUUUACACAUUAUUCUUUGGUUUCUCCACCCUCGGUCAACCGCACACCCCAGCUAUCUUUUGAGUUUCUGGGUUUGCUCUAGACAUCGAAAUAGAAUUGCAAGUAGAAAGGGAACUUUCCAGAGCAAGAUUAUGCUGAGAACGACAGGGGUGAGGUUAAAAGGCGUUAGGGCUAAGGUGAUAGCCCAGUGGGUAAAAUGCUUGCCACCCAAGCGUGAGAGUCUCAGUGUGAUCUCCAGAAUCCAUGUGAACAGACAGACAUUGUGGCACACAUUGGUCAUCCCAGAGCUGGGGAGGCAGAGACAGGAAGAUCUGAGCCUCACUAACCAGGCCACCUGGCCUAACUUACUUACUUGGCAAGCUCCAGGAGAGUGAGACGCUGUCUCAAAAAAAAAAAAAACACAAAUAAAAAAACCAACAAAGGUGGAUAGUGCCUGAGGAAUGACACCCGAGGUUGACUUCUGGCCUCCACAUAUACAUGUGCACAAGUUAAGGCCCAUAUUUAUAUUUACAUAAAGAUGCACGUGAGCAAUACACACACAUACACACACACCGAGAGAGAGAGAGAGAGAGAGAGAGAGAGAGAGAGAGAGAGAGAGAGAGAGAGAGAGAGAGAGAGAGAAAGCUUCCUCUCACUUGUUUUAUAAACGAAAAAGCCCUGGUUCUGUGACUUCACCCAGUCACUGCAAAUGUAUGUGACCAGGACCUUGGAGUGCCUGCUUAUCAUUCUGACCAUCCAAUCCCAUUGACUCAACGCUCUCUGUGUCAAGUACUAGGUUAGACUCUAGCUAGACCCCUUGGUCUUAGGCCUGUAGAAAUGUGCACAGGCCCAUGGUUCCAAUAAAGUCUCUCUGUUCGUGUCAAUAAAGUAUCUCUGAAGACCACUUGC
Molecule: long non-coding RNA, 2861 nt
Filed under: Rattus norvegicus (Norway rat)
Lineage: Eukaryota; Metazoa; Chordata; Mammalia; Rodentia; Muridae
Description: long non-coding RNA NONRATT028621
Source: RNAcentral